Molecule: long non-coding RNA, 423 nt
Organism: Gambusia affinis (western mosquitofish)
Lineage: Eukaryota; Metazoa; Chordata; Actinopteri; Cyprinodontiformes; Poeciliidae
Exons: 3
Source: RefSeq, a predicted model, not a curated record
UGAUCCAGUAUUAAACACGGUAACAGCUGUUUUUAGACCAUGGUGUUAGCUAAAUUUUGGUUUGAUUGUCGGGGCGACAAUUCUUUUUGGGGGGGUGGAAUGUAGCAGUAUGAAGCCUGCCCCAGGAUUGAAGACACCUGGCACCUAAUCACCUGAGUGGGUGUGAGUAUAAAGGCAGACUCCCUCGCAUUCUCUUUUCAUGCCUGCAUUUGGUCACUUCAGUGGAAUGUCUGCUGGUUAACUUGCAGUGGUCAAACUCAAUCCGGAAAUAAAGCUGCCUGAAGCCUCCUGUUGAUACUGGGAUGUGGCAGUAAUUUACCCUUCCUAGUACAAUUUGGCAACAUCAAAAAGGCUUGUAUUGACAAGUGGAUCCUCCUGCUGUGGGUCCGGAAGGGGCUCUCUUGUUGAAGUGGCGUUAUCCAG